This 86-nucleotide transfer RNA is filed under the name Candidatus Enterousia excrementavium. RNAcentral describes it as "tRNA-Leu". It matches the Rfam family "tRNA". From Rfam's summary of the family: Transfer RNA (tRNA) molecules are approximately 80 nucleotides in length. Their secondary structure includes four short double-helical elements and three loops (D, anti-codon, and T loops). Lineage: Bacteria; Pseudomonadati; Pseudomonadota; Alphaproteobacteria. The record is from RNAcentral.
GCGGGCAUGGCGAAACUGGUAAACGCGCAGCACUAAGGAUGCUGUGGAUAAAAUCCUUGGGGGUUCAAUUCCCCCUGUCCGCACCA